UAGCUCAGCGGCAUAAGCGCCUGCCUUGCAAGCAGGCAGUCCUGAGUUCGAUUCCCGG
This is a transfer RNA of Cavia porcellus (domestic guinea pig), 58 nucleotides long. It matches the Rfam family "tRNA", at positions 8 to 63 of the family's 71-position model. From Rfam's summary of the family: Transfer RNA (tRNA) molecules are approximately 80 nucleotides in length. Their secondary structure includes four short double-helical elements and three loops (D, anti-codon, and T loops). The record is from Rfam. NCBI's taxonomy places the organism in Eukaryota, Metazoa, Chordata, Mammalia, Rodentia, Caviidae.